RNAcentral lists this small nucleolar RNA (107 nucleotides) under Gossypium arboreum. Its description in RNAcentral is "Plant small nucleolar RNA R71". It matches the Rfam family "Plant small nucleolar RNA R71". Rfam says of the family: R71 is a member of the C/D box family of snoRNAs containing the C (UGAUGA) and D (CUGA) box motifs. Multiple nearly identical copies of this snoRNA have been identified in Arabidopsis, and it is thought to function as a 2'-O-ribose methylation guide for 18S ribosomal RNA. The record is from Rfam by way of RNAcentral. Lineage: Eukaryota; Viridiplantae; Streptophyta; Magnoliopsida; Malvales; Malvaceae.
AACCCAUGGUGAGGGAACCUACGCAAAAGGUCCUUGUAUCUCUCCCAUGCAUCAAAGAGUGUUUCUAAAUCCAUUUGCACAAAAGAGGAGAUAUCAUUACAUAAUUU